UAAGUAGAGUAUGUGAUCGCGGCCGGCAGGACCGAAAGGGGCCGGCUGAGGAAAGUCCGGGCUUCGCAGGGCAGGAUGCCGGAUAACGUCCGGCGGAGGUGACUCCAGGGACAGUGCAACAGAGAUAUACCGCCUGUUUUUGACAGGUAAGGGUGGAAAGGCAGUGUAAGAGACUACCGACGUCCCGGUGACGGGUACGUGCCAUGUAAACCCCAUCCGAAGCAAGACCGAAUAGCAAAACCAUGUGGCUGCCCGUCACGUUUUCAGGUAGGUCGCUUGAGCCCUUCGGCAACGAAGGGACACAGAUAGAUGAUCACACACGACAUAACCCGGCUUAUCGCUCUGCUUACAAA
Molecule: RNase P RNA, 353 nt
Filed under: Eubacteriales bacterium
Lineage: Bacteria; Bacillati; Bacillota; Clostridia; Eubacteriales
Description: RNase P RNA component class A
Rfam family: Bacterial RNase P class A
About the family: Ribonuclease P (RNase P) is a ubiquitous endoribonuclease, found in archaea, bacteria and eukarya as well as chloroplasts and mitochondria. Its best characterised activity is the generation of mature 5'-ends of tRNAs by cleaving the 5'-leader elements of precursor-tRNAs.
Source: RNAcentral